GAAAUAGAAAAUGGUAUUGUAAUUUUGUACUACAUUAGCAGAUAUGAGUAAUCAAGCAUCAUAUUCAUUCCAUAUGCAUAAAUUAUACAAUGACCACUGAGCAAAGCUAGAAAAAUAGAAAACAGUAUCAUAAUUUAUUUCUGCAUAUAAAAUUCCAAUGAUAAAUAACUAUCAACUUUCAUCAAUAGUGAGCAUCCUCUACAAACCAAAUUUUAAAAAAAU
RNAcentral lists this unclassified non-coding RNA (222 nucleotides) under Hevea brasiliensis (rubber tree). Lineage: Eukaryota; Viridiplantae; Streptophyta; Magnoliopsida; Malpighiales; Euphorbiaceae. The record is from RNAcentral.